This 499-nucleotide ribosomal RNA is filed under the name uncultured bacterium. Its description in RNAcentral is "partial 16S ribosomal RNA". It matches the Rfam family "Bacterial small subunit ribosomal RNA", at positions 30 to 523 of the family's 1533-position model. The record is from RNAcentral.
AUUGAACGCUGGCGGAAUGCUUUACACAUGCAAGUCGAACGGCAGCACGGACGUCGGUCUGGUGGCGAGUGGCGAACGGGUGAGUAAUGUAUCGGAACGUGCCCAGUCGUGGGGAUAACGUAGUGAAAAUUACGCUAAUACCGCAUACGAUCUAUGGAUGAAAGCGGGGGAUCGCAAGACCUCGCGCGAUUGGAGCGGCCGAUAUCAGAUUAGGUAGUUGGUGGGGUAAAGGCCCACCAAGCCAACGAUCUGUAGCUGGUCUGAGAGGACGACCAGCCACACUGGAACUGAGAAACGGUCCAGACUCCUACGGGAGGCAGCAGUGAGGAAUUUGGGACAAUGGGCGAAAGCCUGAUCCAGCCAUUCCGCGUGCAGGAUGAAGGCCCUCGGGUUGUAAACUGCUUUUGUACAGAACGAAAAGGUUUCUACUAAUACUAGGAGCUCAUGACGGUACUGUAAGAAUAAGCACCGGCUAACUACGUGCCAGCCGCCGCCGUAA